Zingiber officinale is the source of this 107-nucleotide small nucleolar RNA. Lineage: Eukaryota; Viridiplantae; Streptophyta; Magnoliopsida; Zingiberales; Zingiberaceae. The record is from RefSeq and is a predicted model, not a curated record.
AGUCCAUGAUGUGGGCAAUGACUAAGCAUCUUUUUGAAUCAAUCUUAUGCUUCAAAUAAUGAUUCUAAAUCUGACUAUCUGAAGCUUGCUAUAAGAUUUCUCAGGUA